GACGAACGCUGGCGGCGUGCUUAACACAUGCCAGUCGAACGGGUCUGCCCUGUUUUUUGCGGGGUGGGUCAGUGGCGAACGGGUGAGUAACCCGUGAGUAACCUGCCCCUCACUUCUGGAUAACCGCUUGAAAGGGUGGCUAAUACGGGGUGUUCUGGCUGUGCCGCAUGGUGUGGCUGGGAAAGAUUCACUUUUGUGGUGUUUUGGUGGGGGAUGGGCUCGCGGCCUAUCAGCUUGUUGGUGGGGUGAUGGCCUGCCAAGGCUUUGACGGGUAGCCGGCCUGGGAGGGUGGGCGGUCACACUGGGACUGAGAUACGGCCCAGACUCCUGCGGGAGGCAGCAGUGGGGGGUAUUGCACAAUGGGCGGAAGCCUGAUGCAGCGACGUCGCGUGAGGGAUGGAGGCCUUCGGGUUGUGAACCUCUUUCGCCGGUGAAGAAGGUCCUGCUCUUUGUGGUGGGGUUGACGGUAGCCGGGUUAUGAAGCGCCGGCUAACUACGUG
Molecule: ribosomal RNA, 500 nt
Filed under: uncultured bacterium
Lineage: Bacteria
Description: partial 16S ribosomal RNA
Rfam family: Bacterial small subunit ribosomal RNA
Source: RNAcentral